GAUGAACGCCGGCGGUGUGCCUAAUACAUGCAAGUCGAACGCGUUGGCCCAAUUGAUUGAUGGUGCUUGCACCUGAUUGAUUUUGGUCGCCAACGAGUGGCGGACGGGUGAGUAACACGUAGGUAACCUGCCCAGAAGCGGGGGACAACAUUUGGAAACAGAUGCUAAUACCGCAUAACAGCGUUGUUCGCAUGAACAACGCUUAAAAGAUGGCUUCUCGCUAUCACUUCUGGAUGGACCUGCGGUGCAUUAGCUUGUUGGUGGGGUAACGGCCUACCAAGGCGAUGAUGCAUAGCCGAGUUGAGAGACUGAUCGGCCACAAUGGGACUGAGACACGGCCCAUACUCCUACGGGAGGCAGCAGUAGGGAAUCUUCCACAAUGGGCGCAAGCCUGAUGGAGCAACACCGCGUGAGUGAAGAAGGGUUUCGGCUCGUAAAGCUCUGUUGUUAAAGAAGAACACGUAUGAGAGUAACUGUUCAUACGUUGACGGUAUUUAACCAGAAAGUCACGGCUAACUACGUGCCAGCAGCCGCGGUAAUACGUAGGUGGCAAGCGUUAUCCGGAUUUAUUGGGCGUAAAGAGAGUGCAGGCGGUUUUCUAAGUCUGAUGUGAAAGCCUUCGGCUUAACCGGAGAAGUGCAUCGGAAACUGGAUAACUUGAGUGCAGAAGAGGGUAGUGGAACUCCAUGUGUAGCGGUGGAAUGCGUAGAUAUAUGGAAGAACACCAGUGGCGAAGGCGGCUACCUGGUCUGCAACUGACGCUGAGACUCGAAAGCAUGGGUAGCGAACAGGAUUAGAUACCCUGGUAGUCCAUGCCGUAAACGAUGAGUGCUAGGUGUUGGAGGGUUUCCGCCCUUCAGUGCCGGAGCUAACGCAUUAAGCACUCCGCCUGGGGAGUACGACCGCAAGGUUGAAACUCAAAGGAAUUGACGGGGGCCCGCACAAGCGGUGGAGCAUGUGGUUUAAUUCGAAGCUACGCGAAGAACCUUACCAGGUCUUGACAUCUUGCGCCAACCCUAGAGAUAGGGCGUUUCCUUCGGGAACGCAAUGACAGGUGGUGCAUGGUCGUCGUCAGCUCGUGUCGUGAGAUGUUGGGUUAAGUCCCGCAACGAGCGCAACCCUUGUUACUAGUUGCCAGCAUUAAGUUGGGCACUCUAGUGAGACUGCCGGUGACAAACCGGAGGAAGGUGGGGACGACGUCAGAUCAUCAUGCCCCUUAUGACCUGGGCUACACACGUGCUACAAUGGACGGUACAACGAGUCGCGAACUCGCGAGGGCAAGCAAAUCUCUUAAAACCGUUCUCAGUUCGGACUGCAGGCUGCAACUCGCCUGCACGAAGUCGGAAUCGCUAGUAAUCGCGGAUCAGCAUGCCGCGGUGAAUACGUUCCCGGGCCUUGUACACACCGCCCGUCACACCAUGAGAGUUUGUAACACCCAAAGUCGGUGGGGUAACCUUUUAGGAGCCAGCCGCCUAA
This 1476-nucleotide ribosomal RNA is filed under the name Limosilactobacillus fermentum. RNAcentral describes it as "bacterial SSU rRNA". It matches the Rfam family "Bacterial small subunit ribosomal RNA". The record is from RNAcentral. Lineage: Bacteria; Bacillati; Bacillota; Bacilli; Lactobacillales; Lactobacillaceae.